GACUAAGCGUACACGGUGGAUGCCCUGGCAGUCAGAGGCGAUGAAGGACGUGCUAAUCUGCGAUAAGCGUCGGUAAGGUGAUAUGAACCGUUAUAACCGGCGAUUUCCGAAUGGGGAAACCCAGUGUGUUUCGACACACUAUCAUUAACUGAAUCCAUAGGUUAAUGAGGCGAACCGGGGGAACUGAAACAUCUAAGUACCCCGAGGAAAAGAAAUCAACCGAGAUUCCCCCAGUAGCGGCGAGCGAACGGGGAGCAGCCCAGAGCCUGAAUCAGUAUGUGUGUUAGUGGAAGCGUCUGGAAAGGCGCGCGAUACAGGGUGACAGCCCCGUACACAAAAAUGCACAUGCUGUGAGCUCGAUGAGUAGGGCGGGACACGUGGUAUCCUGUCUGAAUAUGGGGGGACCAUCCUCCAAGGCUAAAUACUCCUGACUGACCGAUAGUGAACCAGUACCGUGAGGGAAAGGCGAAAAGAACCCCGGCGAGGGGAGUGAAAAAGAACCUGAAACCGUGU
RNAcentral lists this ribosomal RNA (513 nucleotides) under Escherichia coli. RNAcentral describes it as "partial 23S ribosomal RNA". It matches the Rfam family "Bacterial large subunit ribosomal RNA", at positions 1 to 561 of the family's 2925-position model. The record is from RNAcentral. Lineage: Bacteria; Pseudomonadati; Pseudomonadota; Gammaproteobacteria; Enterobacterales; Enterobacteriaceae.